CGGCACGGGUGAGUAACACGUAUCCAACCUGCCGUCUACUCUUGGACAGCCUUCUGAAAGGAAGAUUAAUACAAGAUGGCAUCAUGAGUCCGCAUGUUCACAUGAUUAAAGGUAUUCCGGUAGACGAUGGGGAUGCGUUCCAUUGAUAGUAGGCGGGGUAACGGCCCACCUAGUCUUCGAUGGAUAGGGGUUCUGAGAGGAAGGUCCCCCACAUUGGAACUGAGACACGGUCCAA
RNAcentral lists this ribosomal RNA (235 nucleotides) under uncultured bacterium. RNAcentral describes it as "partial 16S ribosomal RNA". It matches the Rfam family "Bacterial small subunit ribosomal RNA", at positions 100 to 334 of the family's 1533-position model. The record is from RNAcentral.